AGAGCAUAGGGCGGAUGCCCUGGCACCAAGCGCCGAUGAAGGACGUGGCAAGCUGCGAAAAGCCACGGUGAGCCGCAAGCAGGCUUCGACCCGUGGAUGUCCGAAUGUGGAAACACGGCAUACGGAAGGUAUGUCAGCAUAAGAUGAAUCCAUAGUCUUAUGCGGGGAACCCGGUGAACUGAAACAUCUAAGUAACCGGAGGAAGAGAAAGUAAGAACGAUUCCCUCAGUAGCGGCGAGCGAACGGGGAAGAGCCCAAACCAGAGAGCAUGCUCUUUGGGGUUGCGGGCCGGCAUAAUCUAUUGUGGAGUUCUAGUCGAAUAGGGAAGGAAAGCCCAGCCAGAGAGCGUAACAGCCGCGUAGAUGAAAGGACAAAGCAGGAAGCCGGUACCAGAGUACCGCAGGACACGAGAAAUCCGGCGGGAAGCAGGGGGGACCACCCUCCAAGGCUAAAUACGACUUGGUGACCGAUAGCGCAUAGUACCGUGAGGGAAAGGUGAAAAGAACCCCGGGAGGGGAGUGAAAAAGAACCUGAAACCCUAUGUUUACAAGCAGAGGAAGCACGAUAUAGGUGCGACCUCGUACUUUUUGUAGAACGGACCGGCGAGUUGCGCCUGUGCAGCAAGGUUAAGAACUGAAGGUUUGAAGCCGAAGCGAAAGCGAGUCUGAAUAGGGCGAAAAAGUUGCACGGGGCAGACCCGAAACCGGGUGACCUAUCCAUGGCCAGGUUGAAGUGAGCGUAAAAGUUCAUGGAGGACCGAACCAGACGUCUGUUGAAAAAGGCGGGGAUGAGUUGUGGAUAGGGGAGAAAUUCCAAUCGAACCCGGAGAUAGCUGGUUCUCCUCGAAAUAGCUUUAGGGCUAGCCUCGUAUUAGAUACAUGGAGGUAGAGCACUGAAUGGAAGCGGGAGCCUCAAAGCUUACCAAAUCUUAUCAAACUGCGAAUGCCAUGAUAUUGAUGUACGGGAGUCAGUCCGCGAGAGAUAAGUUCCGCGGGCAAAAGGGGAACACCCCAGAUCGUCCGCUAAGGUCCCAAAGUACAUGUUAAGUGGAUAAGGAUGUGUAAUUGCUCAGACAACCAGGAUGUUGGCUUAGAAGCAGCCAUACAUUUAAAGAGUGCGUAAUAGCUCACUGGUCGAGUGGUUGUGCGCCGAAGAUGUCCGGGGCUAAAACAUGUCACCGAAGCGGCGGAUUGACUGCUAUGAUUUCUGCAGUCGGAAAUCUUCCUCGCGCGAGCGGGAAGACGGGAAGAGAGGCGCAAGAGAAAAUCGAGCGCGAGUCGAUUCCCACAAGCUAGAAAUGGCACCGAAGGUGGAAAUCAUAGCAGUCAGUGGUAGAGGAGCAUUGUAUGUAGGACGAAGCACGACCGAGAGGACGUGUGGACAGCAUAGAAGAGAGAAUGCCGGUAUGAGUAGCGAGAGGCGUGCGAGAAACACGCCCGUCGAAAGCCCAAGGUUUCCUGGGGAAGGUUCAUCCACCCAGGGUAAGUCGGGGCCUAAGCCGAGGACAGAAGUCGUAGGCGAUGGACAGCAGGUGGAGAUUCCUGCACUACCGGAAAGAAUGAAGCAGUGACACAGAAGGAUAGCUCAAGCGCGGUGAUGGUCAACUGCGUGAAAGUGUCGAGUGUGGGUUGUAGUGAAGUACGCGACCCGUGAAGCAUGAGGCAUGAGAGGACCGAAAUUAGAGUAGGGAAGUGAGCGAUUUCACGCUGGCGAGAAAAGCUGCUAGUAUAUCUGAAGGUACCCGUACCGCAAACCGACGCAGGUGGGCGGGGUGAGAAUCCUGAGACGAACGGGAGAAUCCUUGUUAAGGAACUCGGCAAAAUGACCCCGUAACUUCGGGAGAAGGGGUGCCCCCUCCGGGGGGCCGCAGAGAAAAGGCUCAAGCGACUGUUUAGCAAAAACACAGGUAUCUGCGAAAGCGAGAGCUGACGUAUAGGUGCUGACACCUGCCCGGUGCUGGAAGGUUAAGGGGAACUGUCAUCGCAAGAGAAGCAGAGAACCGAAGCCCCAGUAAACGGCGGCCGUAACUAUAACGGUCCUAAGGUAGCGAAAUUCCUUGUCGGGUAAGUUCCGACCCGCACGAAUGGUGUAACGAUUUGAGCGCUGUCUCAACAAGGAGCCCGGUGAAAUUGAAGUAUGGGUGAAGAUGCCCAUUACCCGCGACUGGACGGAAAGACCCCGUAGAGCUUUACUGUACCCUGAUAUUGGAUUUCGGCAAUAGAUGCACAGGAUAGGUGGGAGACUGGGAAGCGAGUGUUUCGGCAUUCGUGGAGUCAUCGUUGGGAUACCACUCUUCUACUGCUGAAGUUCUAACAUUGACCCGUGAACCGGGCAAUGGACAAUGUCAGGCGGACAGUUUGACUGGGGCGGUCGCCUCCGAAAGAGUAACGGAGGCGCCCAAAGGUACCCUCAGAAUGGAUGGAAACCAUUCGAAGAGUGUAAAGGCAGAAGGGUGCCUGACUGCGAGAGUGACAAUUCGAGCAGAGACGAAAGUCGGGCUUAGUGAUCCGGCGGCAUUGAGUGGAAGAGCCGUCGCUUAACGGAUAAAAGCUACCUCGGGGAUAACAGGCUGAUCUCCCCCAA
Molecule: ribosomal RNA, 2583 nt
Filed under: fermentation metagenome
Description: bacterial LSU rRNA
Rfam family: Bacterial large subunit ribosomal RNA
Source: RNAcentral